UAAUGACAUGGGUGAAGGAAGUAAUGUGAUGUAGCGAUUCUUUUGAACAUGUGAACAGGAACUUAAUGAGGCUAAAUGGUGGAUAAGGUUGCGCUACAAACCAAAGUCCAAAUGGUAUAUGUAAGACUAAGACAGUAAAUCAAGACAUUGUGAAAG
Molecule: non-coding RNA, 156 nt
Filed under: Thomasclavelia ramosa
Lineage: Bacteria; Bacillati; Bacillota; Erysipelotrichia; Erysipelotrichales; Coprobacillaceae
Source: RNAcentral